Molecule: ribosomal RNA, 441 nt
Filed under: uncultured bacterium
Lineage: Bacteria
Description: bacterial SSU rRNA
Rfam family: Bacterial small subunit ribosomal RNA
Source: RNAcentral
GUACGGGAGGCAGCAGUGGGGAAUAUUGGACAAUGGGGGCAACCCUGAUCCAGCAAUGCCGCGUGAGUGAAGAAGGCCUUAGGGUUGUAAAGCUCUUUCGCCCGUGACGAUGAUGACGGUAACGGGAGAAGAAGCCCCGGCUAAUUCCGUGCCAGCAGCCGCGGUAAUACGGAAGGGGCUAGCGUUGUUCGGAUUUACUGGGCGUAAAGCGCAUGUAGGCGGCGGAUCAAGUGGGGCGUGAAAGGCCUGGGCUCAACCUGGGAACGGCGCUUCAGACUGGUUUGCUCGAGUUCGGGAGAGGGUGGUGGAAUUCCCAGUGUAGAGGUGAAAUUCGUAGAUAUUGGGAGGAACACCGGUGGCGAAGGCGGCCACCUGGCCCGAGACUGACGCUCAAGUGCGAAAGCGUGGGGAGCAAACAGGAUUAGAUACCCGUGUAGUCCG